GAUGAACGCUGGCGGCGUGCCUAAUACAUGCAAGUCGAGCGAACGGACGAGAAGCUUGCUUCUCUGAUGUUAGCGGCGGACGGGUGAGUAACACGUGGAUAACCUACCUAUAAGACUGGGAUAACUUCGGGAAACCGGAGCUAAUACCGGAUAAUAUUUUGAACCGCAUGGUUCAAAAGUGAAAGACGGUCUUGCUGUCACUUAUAGAUGGAUCCGCGCUGCAUUAGCUAGUUGGUAAGGUAACGGCUCACCAAGGCAACGAUGCAUAGCCGACCUGAGAGCGUGAUCGGCCACACUGGAACUGAGACACGGUCCAGACUCCUACGGGAGGCAGCAGUAGGGAAUCUUCCGCAAUGGGCGAAAGCCUGACGGAGCAACGCCGCGUGAGUGAUGAAGGUCUUCGGAUCGUAAAACUCUGUUAUUAGGGAAGAACAUAUGUGUAAGUAACUGUGCACAUCUUGACGGUACCUAAUCAGAAAGCCACGGCUAACUACGUG
This 497-nucleotide ribosomal RNA is filed under the name uncultured bacterium. RNAcentral's name for it is "partial 16S ribosomal RNA". It matches the Rfam family "Bacterial small subunit ribosomal RNA", at positions 28 to 507 of the family's 1533-position model. The record is from RNAcentral.